GACGAACGCUGGCGGCGUGCUUAACACAUGCAAGUCGAACGGAAAGGCCCUGCUUUUGUGGGGUGCUCGAGUGGCGAACGGGUGAGUAACACGUGAGUAACCUGCCCUUGACUUUGGGAUAACUUCAGGAAACUGGGGCUAAUACCGGAUAGGAGCUCCUGCUGCAUGGUGGGGGUUGGAAAGUUUCGGCGGUUGGGGAUGGACUCGCGGCUUAUCAGCUUGUUGGUGGGGUAGUGGCUUACCAAGGCUUUGACGGGUAGCCGGCCUGAGAGGGUGACCGGCCACCUUGCGACUGAGAUACGGCCCAGACUCCUACGGGACGCAGCAGUGGGGAAUAUUGCACAAUGGGCGGAAGCGUGAUGCAGCAACGCCGCGUGCGGGAUGACGGCCUUCGGGUUGUAAACCGCUUUCGCCUGUGACGAAGCGUGAGUGACGGUAAUGGGUAAAGAAGCACCGGCUAACUACGUG
This 468-nucleotide ribosomal RNA is filed under the name uncultured bacterium. Its description in RNAcentral is "partial 16S ribosomal RNA". It matches the Rfam family "Bacterial small subunit ribosomal RNA", at positions 28 to 507 of the family's 1533-position model. The record is from RNAcentral.